Molecule: ribosomal RNA, 116 nt
Organism: Otolemur garnettii (small-eared galago)
Lineage: Eukaryota; Metazoa; Chordata; Mammalia; Primates; Galagidae
Source: Ensembl
AUCUACAGUCAUGCCACACUGAACAAGCCUGAUCUCGUCUGAUCUUGGAAGCUAAGCAGGGUCAGGCCUGAUUAGUUAGUACUUGGAUGGGAGAUCACCUCCUGGUGCUGUAGGUU